CCUACGGGUGGCAGCAGUGGGGAAUAUUGGACAAUGGGCGAAAGCCUGAUCCAGCCAUGCCGCGUGUGUGAAGAAGGCCUUCGGGUUGUAAGGCACUUUCAGUGGGGAAGAAAGCCUUGGGGCUAAUACCCUCGAGGAAGGACAUCACCCACAGAAGAAGCACCGGCUAACUCCGUGCCAGCAGCCGCGGUAAUACGGAGGGUGCGAGCGUUAAUCGGAAUUACUGGGCGUAAAGCGCGCGUAGGCGGUCUGAUAAGCCGGUUGUGAAAGCCCCGGGCUCAACCUGGGAACGGCAUCCGGAACUGUCAGGCUAGAGUGCAGGAGAGGAAGGUAGAAUUCCCGGUGUAGCGGUGAAAUGCGUAGAGAUCGGGAGGAAUACCAGUGGCGAAGGCGGCCUUCUGGACUGACACUGACGCUGAGGUGCGAAAGCGUGGGUAGCAAACAGGAUUAGAUACCCCAGUCGUC
Molecule: ribosomal RNA, 465 nt
Filed under: Vreelandella stevensii
Lineage: Bacteria; Pseudomonadati; Pseudomonadota; Gammaproteobacteria; Oceanospirillales; Halomonadaceae
Description: partial 16S ribosomal RNA
Rfam family: Bacterial small subunit ribosomal RNA
Source: RNAcentral